GUACCGUCAUUAUCUUCCCUAGCGAAAGAGCUUUACAACCCUAGGGCCUUCUUCACUCACGCGGCAUGGCUGGAUCAGGCUUUCGCCCAUUGUCCAAUAUUCCCCA
Molecule: ribosomal RNA, 106 nt
Filed under: uncultured bacterium
Lineage: Bacteria
Description: partial 16S ribosomal RNA
Source: RNAcentral